Molecule: long non-coding RNA, 238 nt
Filed under: Fukomys damarensis (Damara mole-rat)
Lineage: Eukaryota; Metazoa; Chordata; Mammalia; Rodentia; Bathyergidae
Description: lncRNA (ENSFDAG00000025427.1)
Source: RNAcentral
AGCAAAUAUUGAGUACACUGGCCAGUCCACCUUUGCUUCAAGAUAGAAAUAAACCAGAAGACAGAAUGCCUGGCUGAAGGAUUCCGAUUGGAACAGAAACCUACGAGCUACUUUGUAAAAUGACUUGCCUCCUUUUGCCACAAGAAGGGAAAAUCUACUUCUGAAUUAACGAGUAGGUAAUUGAAAAUAUGAUGAGAUUACAGAAGACAAUAAAAAUAAAUGCAAUUUUAAAAGGCCA